AAAUUUUCCUGCUCCAAGUCUGUGCCUGAUGGUUUUUGGUUUUCCUCUGGCCUUGUUUUAGCCUGACUACGUCUCAGCAUCCAAAUCCUCUCAGCUUCCUCCUUUAAACCAUCUCAUCACCAGUAAUCACUCACCAUUCAUCAGAUCUGAGAGAUCCACUGCAUCGAUCAUCAUUGUUUCUCCAGUGUCAAGUUCCUGUUCAGCUCCAGCACAGUCAUCAUAUCAGCAUAUUGACAUAAAUUGUUCCUAAUUCUGAGUCUCUGCUUCCUGGGGUUCAGCUUGUUGCAUGCUAAUUCCUGACAGUGAGUUUCUGGUGUUUGUUGCUUUGAGUCUGCGCUGUGUUAUCAGGGGAGUUAGCCCGAGCGUGUGUCUUUGUGGGUGGUUUUUAAAAGAACAUGUGGAGGAACAGUGUGCACCUUAGCUCCAAGGUGCUGCAGCAAGCAUGGUUGCCAUGGACAUAAUGGAUCAUUGUAAGAUGCAUCUCAAAAAGGACUUUUCUGCUGGAAUGGUCUAAAGGCAUAGAGUCUUCAUCUGUUUAGAAUAUGUUGCACCUAAAUUAUAUUAAUUAAAAUCAGACUUUUCCCUGAAAUGUUGUUUGUAGAUGUAUUCAUUAGUCUAGUAGAUGACUAUUUCUGUUCAACAUGUUUCCUGUCAUGCCUGUUUUUUGUUUGCAAUCACCACAGCUGCUUCCUAUUCAUUGUUCAUUCUCUCUAGGCAAUUGUCAAAAUUUACUUAAUAAGUAGGUAAAUUUAUUGUUAACUCAAAUGAUACCAAGGCAUCUCUGCUCAACCGUUGCUAAUUACACAAAUUCUGUAAAAUGUAAAGUAUGCAGUGACAUUGUAUUGUAAUUCUCCUGGUUGUUGUCAUUUUACAGGGGGGGGGGUUCUGAAUGUGUGUGAUCAUUUGUAGCUUAUCCAUUAAAAAAAAAAACAUUUCUUGCAACUUA
This is a long non-coding RNA of Oryzias latipes (Japanese medaka), 946 nucleotides long. RefSeq lists it as uncharacterized. The record is from RefSeq and is a predicted model, not a curated record. Lineage: Eukaryota; Metazoa; Chordata; Actinopteri; Beloniformes; Adrianichthyidae.